UACGUAGGGGGCAAGCGUUGUCCGGAUUUACUGGGCGUAAAGAGCGCGUAGGCGGAAGCUUAAGUGUGGCCUGAAAGCCCCCGGCUCAACCGGGGAAGGUGGCUGCAAACUGGGCUUCUUGAGGGGGAUAGGGGAAAGUGGAAUUCCGGGUGUAGCGGUGGAAUGCGUAGAGAUCCGGAAGAACACCGGUGGCGAAGGCGGUCUGCUGGGCAGUAGCUGACGCUGAGGCGCGACAGCGUGGGGAGCAAACAGG
This 253-nucleotide ribosomal RNA is filed under the name uncultured bacterium. Its description in RNAcentral is "partial 16S ribosomal RNA". It matches the Rfam family "Bacterial small subunit ribosomal RNA", at positions 524 to 776 of the family's 1533-position model. The record is from RNAcentral.